This 52-nucleotide non-coding RNA is filed under the name unclassified sequences. Its description in RNAcentral is "Li+-I sequence". It matches the Rfam family "nhaA-I RNA". From Rfam's summary of the family: Acidobacteria, Alphaproteobacteria, Betaproteobacteria and Gammaproteobacteria, Verrucomicrobia, cand. division NC10. The record is from Rfam by way of RNAcentral.
GGGUCCGGGAUCAUUUUCCGGAGGGUGUUUAAGAUGGUCGGGCCGCCAUCCU